RNAcentral lists this ribosomal RNA (666 nucleotides) under uncultured bacterium. Its description in RNAcentral is "bacterial SSU rRNA". It matches the Rfam family "Bacterial small subunit ribosomal RNA", at positions 8 to 647 of the family's 1533-position model. The record is from RNAcentral.
AGAGUUUGAUCCUGGCUCAGAACGAACGCUGGCGGCGUGGAUAAGACAUGCAAGUCGAACGGUUGGCAAAUGGUAGCAAUACGAUUUGUCGAUAGUGGCGAAAGGGUGCGUAACACGUGGGCAAUUUACCGUGAAGACUGGAAUAACCUGCCGAAAGGUAGGCUAAUACCGGAUGUGGUCGUCUAGGGGAAUCCUUAGACGACUAAAGGUGGGGAUCUUCGGACCUGCCGCUUCAUGAUGAGCCCGCGGCCUAUCAGCUUGUUGGCGAGGUAAAGGCUCACCAAGGCUAAGACGGGUAACUGGUCUGAGAGGACGGUCGGUCACACUGGAACUGAGACACGGUCCAGACACCUACGGGUGGCAGCAGUCGAGAAUCAUUCACAAUGGGCGAAAGCCUGAUGGUGCGACGCCGCGUGGGGGAAGAAGUGCUUCGGUAUGUAAACCCCUGUCAUCUGCGAGCAAACCUUUUCGGUUAACACCUGGAAAGCUGAUAGUAGCAGAAGAGGAAGGGACGGCUAACUCUGUGCCAGCAGCCGCGGUAAUACAGAGGUCCCAAGCGUUGUUCGGAUUCACUGGGCGUAAAGGGUGCGUAGGCGGCAUGGCAAGUUUGAUGUGAAAGCUCCGAGCUCAACUCGGAAAUUGCAUUGAAAACUGCCAAGCUCGAGG